This 328-nucleotide unclassified non-coding RNA is filed under the name soil metagenome. RNAcentral describes it as "partial contains 5.8S ribosomal RNA, internal transcribed spacer 2, and large subunit ribosomal RNA". The stretch from base 1 to 119 matches the Rfam family "5.8S ribosomal RNA", at positions 35 to 154 of the family's 154-position model. The record is from RNAcentral.
GAUGAAAACGCAGCGAAAUGCGAUAAGUAAUGUGAAUUGCAGAAUUCAGUGAAUCAUCGAAUCUUUGAACGCACAUUGCGCCCUCUGGUAUUCCGGGGGGCAUGCCUGUUCGAGCGUCAUUAUAACCACUCAAGCUCUCGCUUGGUAUUGGAGUUCGCGAUCUCGCGGCUCCUAAAAUCAGUGGCGGUGCCUGUCGGCUCUACGCGUAGUAAUACUCCUCGCGAUUGAGUCCGGUAGGUUUACUUGCCAGCAACCCCCAAUUUUUACAGGUUGACCUCGGAUCAGGUAGGGAUACCCGCUGAACUUAAGCAUAUCAAUAAGCGGAGGA